GCAGCCGCGGUUAAUACGUAGGGCAGCGAGUGUUGUUCGGAAUUACUGGGCGUAAAGAGUGUGUAGGCGGUGCUCUAAGUUCGGUGUGAAAUCUCCUGGCUUAACUGGGAGGGUGCGCCGGAAACUGGAGUGCUCGAGCGUGGGAGAGGAAAGCGGAAUUCCUGGUGUAGCGGUGAAAUGCGUAGAUAUCAGGAGGAACACCUGCGGUGUAGACGGCUUUCUGGACCAUUGCUGACGCUGAGACACGAAAGCGUGGGUAGCAAACAGGAUUAGAUANCCCUGGUAGUCCACGCCCUAAACGAUGCAUACUUGGUGUCGGCCAUUCAGUUGGUCGGUGCCGGAGCUAACGCGUUAAGUAUGCCGCCUGGGGAGUACGGUCGCGAGGCUGAAACUCAAAGGAAUUGACGGGGGCCCGCACAAGCGGUGGAGCAUGUGGUUUAAUUCGACGCAACGCGAAGAACCUUACCUGGGCUCGAACGGCUUCUCAACGGCAGUGGAAACAUUGCUAUCCCCUUAAAAGGAGUGGAGUCGAGGUGCUGCA
This 541-nucleotide ribosomal RNA is filed under the name uncultured Acidobacteriota bacterium. RNAcentral's name for it is "bacterial SSU rRNA". It matches the Rfam family "Bacterial small subunit ribosomal RNA", at positions 511 to 1045 of the family's 1533-position model. The record is from RNAcentral. Lineage: Bacteria; Pseudomonadati; Acidobacteriota.